AAAUAAAUAUUGCAAUAAAUGUUAUAAUUUUCAAGGCGUACACAAUUAGGACUUGUUUGAUUCAAGUGUGGAAUUGGAAUGGAUAAUCGAAUGGGAAUGAAUUGGAAUGAUAAUUGGAAUGACCCACUCCCCCAAGACGUUUGGUUUAUUUGUGGAUUGGAAAUUAGAAUGAGUUAUUCACAUUUCAUUAUUUGGUUCGUAUAAAUUAAAAAAAUUAUAGGAUACUAUAAUACUAAUUUUACUCUCAAAUAUAAAUUUAUUUUAUUUAAAAUUUAUGAAAAAUAUAAUACUAUUCUCUAAUAAAUUUUUCAAAAAAAAUAUCAAAUUUAUUUUUAAAAAUUUUUAUUGAUGUGGGUUAGGGAUAGGGUUUUGAGAGAGGAUAGAUUUUUUUUUUUUUUUUUUUAUGGGAAAGGAGUGGAGAGAAAGAGGGUGAGAGGGCUUCAAGAACUUAGUGAGCUUCCGGAAUGAAAUAUCAAUCCGGACUAGAAGACCGGAAUCAAGUUAAAGACUAAUGGGUCAUUCCCAUUCCAGUCCGGAAUAGAAAUUUCAAACCGAUUUAUGCGAACCAAACAAAAUUAACCGGAUUUGAUCAAACCGAUUCUUAUUCCAUACCCAAAAUGGAUGAACCAAACAAGCCCUUAAAGUACACUGCGUUUACAAUUACAUAUAAAUAAGUAGCCUCAGAAAAUCAAAGACCUAGGUAUUAAUAAGAGAUUUAUCUAUUUUAUUUACAUUGUAAUUUGAAACUUCUUGUAUCAAUUAAAACAUAUUGUUUUUUUUUAUUCGAAGAGUAGCAAAAAGUUGAGAUAAGUCGACCAAAUUAUAAUAAAUUAAUGUUUAAGGAGCAAAAAUGUUCUAAGGAUAAAUAGUGUACUCUAAUUUUCUUUUUAAAUUUUAAUCUAUGAAAUGUGAUUUAAAAUAUAAAAAUGAUUUCAAGCAGAAUAUCGAUAUGAAAUUCUGAUUAAGAAUUUAAGUGCCGUAGCACGAAAGCGUACCGUGUUGAAACUUGCUCGUGACUCGUAGUUUCGAGUCUAAUUUUCUUAUCCCCGGAGAUGGAGCCGUCACAGUCAAUUAAAUUAGGGUUAGACUGGGACUCCCGCAUAUUACAUAUUUACAUAUAACUUGAUGUAAGAAUGUUAAAUCACGUCCGUCCAUCGAGGACGUGUCCAGAUACAUCAUAACCGUAAGAUCUACAAUGUCUUUAUAGAUCAUCUUAAAUAGAUUGACCAUAUAUUUAUGGAUCGUCAUGAAUAUAUCAUGUGGACACAUCCAACAUACCGAACCAUGCCUAUACGUACCGGUCACAAAAAAUAUAUAUUUGUCGACGUAUAAUGGCAUAAAAUAUUUAUUUUUUUUAAUAAUAAAUUAUGUCAAUUAUUUAUUAUAUAUUUUUAUCAAAUUAUUUAAAUUUUAUUAAAAAAAUUAAUUACUAAU
Molecule: long non-coding RNA, 1434 nt
Filed under: Ananas comosus (pineapple)
Lineage: Eukaryota; Viridiplantae; Streptophyta; Magnoliopsida; Poales; Bromeliaceae
Description: long non-coding RNA (ACOM_LNC041663)
Source: RNAcentral